The sequence is a ribosomal RNA, 1149 nucleotides long. It matches the Rfam family "Bacterial small subunit ribosomal RNA", at positions 369 to 1533 of the family's 1533-position model. The record is from Rfam.
AAAUGGGGGAACCCUGAUCCAGCGACGCCGCGUGGAGGACGAAGGCCUUCGGGUUGUAAACUCCUUUUAGAGGGGAAGAAAUAAAUGACGUUACCCUCAGAAAAAGCCACGGCUAACUACGUGCCAGCAGCCGCGGUAAUACGUAGGUGGCGAGCGUUACUCGGAAUUACUAGGCGUAAAGCGUAUGUAGGCUGUCAUAUAAGUCUUUAGUAAAAUUUCCCGGCUCAACCGGGAAAAGCCUAAGGAUACUGUUCGACUUGAGUUUGGGAGAGGGAGACGGAAUUCCUGGUGUAGCGGUGAAAUGCGUAGAUAUCAGGAGGAACACCGAUGGCGAAAGCAGUCUCCUGGACCAAUACUGACGCUGAUGUACGAAAGCUAGGGUAGCAAACAGGAUUAGAUACCCUGGUAGUCCUAGCUGUAAACUAUGUUCACUAGAUGUGGGGAGUAUCGACCCUUUCCGCGUCGACGUUAACGCAUUAAGUGAACCGCCUGGGGAGUACGACCGCAAGGUUAAAACUCAAAGGAAUUGACGGGGGCCCGCACAAGCGGUGGAGUAUGUGGUUUAAUUCGACGCAACGCGAAAAACCUUACCUGGGCUUGAACUGCUGAUGGUAAAAACCGGAAACGGCAAUGACCCGCAAGGGAGUCAGCAGAGGUGUUGCAUGGCUGUCGUCAGCUCGUGUCGUGAGAUGUUGGGUUAAGUCCCGCAACGAGCGUAACCCUUAUCCCAUGUUACCUGUAGCGAUACAGGGUCUCUGAGGAAACUGCCAUUGAUAAAAUGGAGGAAGGUGAGGAUGACGUCAAGUCAUCAUGUCCUUUAUGUCCAGGGCUACACACGUACUACAAUGGCCAGUACAGAGGGUAGCAAUAUCGUAAGGUGGAGCAAAUCCCUGAAAGCUGGCCCCAGUUCGGAUUGUGGGCUGCAAUUCGUCCACAUGAAGUAGGAAUCGCUAGUAAUCGCAGAUCAGCAGGCUGCGGUGAAUACGUUCCCGGGCCUUGUACACACCGCCCGUCACACCACGAAAGUCAGUCAUAACAGAAGUCGUCGAGCUAACCGAGAGGAGGCAGGCGCCUAAGUUAUGGUUGGUGAUUGGGGUGAAGUCGUAACAAGGUAGCCGUACGAGAACGUGCGGCUGGAUCACCUCCUUU